Molecule: ribosomal RNA, 492 nt
Filed under: uncultured bacterium
Lineage: Bacteria
Description: partial 16S ribosomal RNA
Rfam family: Bacterial small subunit ribosomal RNA
Source: RNAcentral
AGUGAACGCUGGCGGUAGGCCUAACACAUGCAAGUCGAACGGCAGCACAGUAAGAGCUUGCUCUUACGGGUGGCGAGUGGCGGACGGGUGAGGAAUACAUCGGAAUCUACUUUUUCGUGGGGGAUAACGUAGGGAAACUUACGCUAAUACCGCAUACGACCUACGGGUGAAAGCAGGGGAUCUUCGGACCUUGCGCGAUUGAAUGAGCCGAUGUCGGAUUAGCUAGUUGGCAGGGUAAAGGCCCACCAAGGCGACGAUCCGUAGCUGGUCUGAGAGGAUGAUCAGCCACACUGGAACUGAGACACGGUCCAGACUCCUACGGGAGGCAGCAGUGGGGAAUAUUGGACAAUGGGCGCAAGCCUGAUCCAGCCAUACCGCGUGGGUGAAGAAGGCCUUCGGGUUGUAAAGCCCUUUUGUUGGGAAAGAAAGGCAGCAGGUUAAUACCCCGCUGUUCCGACGGUACCCAAAGAAUAAGCACCGGCUAACUUCGUG